Molecule: small nuclear RNA, 90 nt
Filed under: Heterocephalus glaber (naked mole-rat)
Lineage: Eukaryota; Metazoa; Chordata; Mammalia; Rodentia; Bathyergidae
Description: U2 spliceosomal RNA
Rfam family: U2 spliceosomal RNA
About the family: U2 is a small nuclear RNA (snRNA) component of the spliceosome (involved in pre-mRNA splicing). Complementary binding between U2 snRNA (in an area lying towards the 5' end but 3' to hairpin I) and the branchpoint sequence (BPS) of the intron results the bulging out of an unpaired adenosine, on the BPS, which initiates a nucleophilic attack at the intronic 5' splice site, thus starting the first of two transesterification reactions that mediate splicing.
Source: Rfam by way of RNAcentral
GUUGCAUCUCAGCCUUUUGGCUAAGAUCAAGUGUAGUAUCUUUGACCAUACAUUAAAUUAAAAUUGAAGUGGAUUAAAGAUGCAACUAUU